AUUGAACGCUGGCGGCAGGCCUAACACAUGCAAGUCGAGCGGAUGAAGGGAGCUUGCUCCUGGAUUCAGCGGCGGACGGGUGAGUAAUGCCUAGGAAUCUGCCUGGUAGUGGGGGAUAACGUCCUGAAACGGGCGCUAAUACCGCAUACGUCCUGAGGGAGCAAGUGGGGGAUCUUCGGACCUCACGCUAUCAGAUGAGCCUAGGUCGGAUUAGCUAGUUGGUGGGGUAAAGGCCUACCAAGGCGACGAUCCGUAACUGGUCUGAGAGGAUGAUCAGUCAGCUGGGAUGUGAGAAUGAGCAGCGACACCUGCGCUGGGAAGCAGUGGGGACUAUUGGGGGAUGGGGCAAAGGCGAAUACAGGCAUGUGGGGGGUGGGAUGAAGGUGUUCUGAUGCGAAAGUACUGAAGGCUGGGGGGAAGGGAAGUAAUUUAAUACCGGGCGAUUUUGACAGUACCAAGAGAAUAAGCACCGGCUAACUCCGUG
RNAcentral lists this ribosomal RNA (484 nucleotides) under uncultured bacterium. RNAcentral describes it as "partial 16S ribosomal RNA". It matches the Rfam family "Bacterial small subunit ribosomal RNA", at positions 29 to 507 of the family's 1533-position model. The record is from RNAcentral.